Molecule: transfer-messenger RNA, 360 nt
Filed under: Acetohalobium arabaticum
Lineage: Bacteria; Bacillati; Bacillota; Clostridia; Halanaerobiales; Halobacteroidaceae
Also listed under: 1 other name
Description: Standard tmRNA
Rfam family: transfer-messenger RNA
About the family: Bacterial tmRNA, also known as 10Sa RNA or SsrA, is named for its dual tRNA and mRNA-like properties. Its role is to liberate the mRNA from a stalled ribosome.
Source: RNAcentral
GGGGGUGUAUAUGGGACUCGACUUAAGUGUUGACACCAGGACAGCGAGCCGAGGACCCCUUUCACUCGGAAAACACUGGGACUUUUAAAAUUAUCUGCAAAUGAUAAUAGUUACGCACUAGCUGCUGCGUAAGCAGUCAGCUACGCUUGGUUAGGUCUUGUCUGUGGGGCUAGUCAAGUGUCAUAAUCAGCAGGCUACCUGCUUUCUGAAGCUUGUAGGAAAGUAGGGAACUUUACAAGCUAACAGCUUUUGAUCCUGUCUGUGGGAGCUAAAGCUGUGAACUUAAAUCACAGGCUACGCUCGUAGAACCCUGAGUGGAAGCACUUAAGGACGGCGGUUCGAAUCCGCCCACCUCCACCA